CCUACGGGGGGCAGCAGUGGGGAAUAUUGGGCAAUGGGCGCAAGCCUGACCCAGCAACGCCGCGUGAAGGAAGAAGGCUUUCGGGUUGUAAACUUCUUGUAUCAGGGACGAAGCAAGUGACGGUACCUGAUGAAUAAGCCACGGCUAACUACGUGCCAGCAGCCGCGGUAAUACGUAGGUGGCAAGCGUUAUCCGGAUUUACUGGGUGUAAAGGGCGUGUAGGCGGGAGUGCAAGUCAGAUGUGAAAACUAUGGGCUCAACCCAUAGCCUGCAUUUGAAACGGUACUUCUUGAGUGCUGGAGAGGCAAUCGGAAUUCCGUGUGUAGCGGUGACCUGCGUCGCUAUCCGGCGGAACCCCAGUGGCGAAGGCGGCUUGCUGGACCGUAACUGACGCUGCGGCGCGCCAGCGUGGGGAGCACACAGGAUUAGAUCCCCUUGUAGUC
Molecule: ribosomal RNA, 443 nt
Filed under: uncultured bacterium
Lineage: Bacteria
Description: partial 16S ribosomal RNA
Rfam family: Bacterial small subunit ribosomal RNA
Source: RNAcentral